GUGAACAUAGUUUAACUAAAACCUUAGGCUGUGGCUCUAAAAAUGAGGGCUAACACCCCUCUGUUCACCG
This 70-nucleotide transfer RNA is filed under the name Rhacophorus modestus. RNAcentral describes it as "tRNA-His". It matches the Rfam family "tRNA". Rfam says of the family: Transfer RNA (tRNA) molecules are approximately 80 nucleotides in length. Their secondary structure includes four short double-helical elements and three loops (D, anti-codon, and T loops). Further hydrogen bonds mediate the characteristic L-shaped molecular structure. tRNAs have two regions of fundamental functional importance: the anti-codon, which is responsible for specific mRNA codon recognition, and the 3' end, to which the tRNAs corresponding amino acid is attached (by aminoacyl-tRNA synthetases). tRNAs cope with the degeneracy of the genetic code in two manners: having more than one tRNA (with a specific anti-codon) for a particular amino acid; and 'wobble' base-pairing, i.e. permitting non-standard base-pairing at the 3rd anti-codon position. The record is from RNAcentral. Lineage: Eukaryota; Metazoa; Chordata; Amphibia; Anura; Rhacophoridae.